Molecule: ribosomal RNA, 486 nt
Filed under: Salinibacterium sp. h30
Lineage: Bacteria; Bacillati; Actinomycetota; Actinomycetes; Micrococcales; Microbacteriaceae
Description: bacterial SSU rRNA
Rfam family: Bacterial small subunit ribosomal RNA
Source: RNAcentral
AGGAUGAACGCUGGCGGCGUGCUUAACACAUGCAAGUCGAACGAUGAAGCAGAGCUUGCUCUGUGGAUUAGUGGCGAACGGGUGAGUAACACGUGAGUAACCUGCCCUUGACUCUGGAAUAAGCGUUGGAAACGACGUCUAAUACCGGAUACGAGCUUCCGCCGCAUGGUGAGGAGUUGGAAAGAAUUUCGGUCAAGGAUGGACUCGCGGCCUAUCAGGUAGUUGGUGAGGUAAUGGCUCACCAAGCCUACGACGGGUAGCCGGCCUGAGAGGGUGACCGGCCACACUGGAACUGAGACACGGUCCAGACUCCUACGGGAGGCAGCAGUGGGGAAUAUUGCACAAUGGGCGCAAGCCUGAUGCAGCAACGCCGCGUGAGGGACGACGGCCUUCGGGUUGUAAACCUCUUUUAGUAGGGAAGAAGCGAUGUGCUUGUCACAUCAUGACGGUACCUGCAGAAAAAGCACCGGCUAACUACGUGCCAGC